AUGGUUGCUGAAAAUGAGGUGAGGCAAAAAUUACUUGACAAAAAGCGGGAUGCUGAAAGAGUUCUCUCUGGUGUGGAACAGGUUAAUGCUGAGUUUGCUAAUAGCGCUGCUAUGUUGGAGGAUUUCACAGAAGUGCCUGGCAGCCAAAAGGAAGUAGAGUUUGAUUGCACUCAAGACCCAGAUGACUUUGCUAGGAGGCUUGGGAUUAGCACUCAAAAAGUUAAAGAAAUCAAUGACAAUGUUGAGAGGGAGAUGAUUGCGGAGGAAAAUGAGAAUCUGCUACUAGCACAAGAUAAGGAAAAUAGGAGCCCUUCUCUCAUCAGCUCCACUCAGGCCGUGACCGCUCCCGGGAGAGAAGUGAAUCAGAAGCAAACUCCCUUCUCUGACAAAGUUGAUGUAUGUUUACAAUACCCCUUACAAGACCUGUGUGGUGUCGAUGCAGUCAAUAAGCAGAAAAUGAGGGAGGCUGAAGCCAGAGUUCAGAAAGCAAAAGACAAGGCGGCGCUUGAUGAAGCUGCUAGGAGAAGGAGUGAAAGGCAUAAGAAUAAAGAUGAGGGGCAGACUAUGGACAAGGCUACUGAGAUGGCAAAGAAGAAAAAUUUGGAAAUGGCACCAGAGAAAAGGUGUGCAAAAAAUGCUUAG
This 642-nucleotide ribosomal RNA is filed under the name Triticum aestivum (bread wheat). RNAcentral describes it as "partial small subunit ribosomal RNA". The record is from RNAcentral. Lineage: Eukaryota; Viridiplantae; Streptophyta; Magnoliopsida; Poales; Poaceae.